AAACAUUGCUUUAUGUCGUAUAUAAGGUUAACCCUGCUCAAUGAUAUGUUAAAUAGCCGCAGUACUUUGACUGUGCAAAGGUAGCAUAAUCAUUUGGCUUAUAAUUGAAGUCUGGAAUGAAUGGGAGUAUGGGUAGUAACUGUCUUACCAUAAAUAAGUGAAUUUACUAAUUAAGUGAAAAUUCUUAUAAUUAUAUAAUAGACGAGAAGACCCUAGAAAUUUUAUAUAUUUAUGUUUACCUAAACUAUUUUGUUGGGGCGACAGAACAACAUAAAACUUGUUUAUUUUUAUUUGACCUUAUUGAAUAGUAUAACUAAAUUACUCUAGGGAUAACAGCAUAAUACAAAAGAGUUUGUGACCUCGAUGUUGGACUAGGAAUAUUAUUGUUUAGAAGAUAAUAAUAAAGGCUCUGUUCGAGCUCAUCCUCCUACGUGAUC
RNAcentral lists this ribosomal RNA (437 nucleotides) under Pyrenaearia molae. RNAcentral describes it as "partial 16S ribosomal RNA". It matches the Rfam family "Archaeal large subunit ribosomal RNA", at positions 1903 to 2674 of the family's 2987-position model. Lineage: Eukaryota; Metazoa; Mollusca; Gastropoda; Stylommatophora; Hygromiidae. The record is from RNAcentral.